AUACCGUGAUAAGGACAUUUUCUCGACAACUCCUUAAAACAUUCCCAAGAGACAUAUAAAGAUUCCCCAUCUAACUGAUAGAAGUUAUUAAGCUCUCCCAUCAAUUU
Molecule: small nucleolar RNA, 107 nt
Organism: Humulus lupulus (European hop)
Lineage: Eukaryota; Viridiplantae; Streptophyta; Magnoliopsida; Rosales; Cannabaceae
Source: RefSeq, a predicted model, not a curated record